AUUGAACGCUGGCGGCAGGCCUAACACAUGCAAGUCGAACGAGUGGCGGACGGGUGAGUAAUGUCUGGGAAACUGCCUGAUGGAGGGGGAUAACUACUGGAAACGGUAGCUAAUACCGCAUACCAUCGGAUGUCCCCAGAUGGGAUUAGCUAGUAGGUGGGGUAACGGCUCACCUAGGCGACGAACCCUAGCUGGUCUGAGAGGAUGACCAACCACACUGGAACUGGGACACGGUCCAGACUCCAAGUGAAGGCAGCAGUGGGGAAUAUUGCACAAUUGGCGCAAGCCUGAUGCAGCCAUGCCGCGUGUAUGAAGAAGGCCUUCGGGUUGUAAAGUACUUUCAGCGGGGAGGCGUUACCCGCAGGAGAAGCACCGGCUAACUCCGUGCCAGCAGCCGCGGUAAUUC
This 406-nucleotide ribosomal RNA is filed under the name uncultured bacterium. RNAcentral's name for it is "partial 16S ribosomal RNA". It matches the Rfam family "Bacterial small subunit ribosomal RNA", at positions 30 to 526 of the family's 1533-position model. The record is from RNAcentral.